RNAcentral lists this non-coding RNA (24 nucleotides) under Arabidopsis thaliana (thale cress). Lineage: Eukaryota; Viridiplantae; Streptophyta; Magnoliopsida; Brassicales; Brassicaceae. The record is from RNAcentral.
AAUUCGAUGUACGUGCUUGAGCUG